Molecule: ribosomal RNA, 491 nt
Filed under: uncultured bacterium
Lineage: Bacteria
Description: partial 16S ribosomal RNA
Rfam family: Bacterial small subunit ribosomal RNA (bases 56-491)
Source: RNAcentral
GGGGGGGGGGGGGGGCGGGGGGGGGGGGGGGGGGGCGGGGGGGCCCGGCGGGGGAGCUGGGUCGCCUAGUCGUCGACCGGCGCGCGGGGGAGUGGCGCGUAUCCCACCGGCCCCUGACCGCGGGGUCGCCCGCCGCAGGGCGUGCUCCGACCUUAUGCCAUCCUCGUCAGCCCUCUGCCGACGACGAAAGCUUCACACGGUGAGAGAGGGGGCUGCGUCUGAAUAGCCUGCUGGCGGGGUAACGGCCCACCAAGGCGACGAUCAGUAGGGGUUCUGAGAGGAAGGUCCCCCACAUUGGAACUGAGACACGGUCCAAACUCCUACGGGAGGCAGCAGUGAGGAAUAUUGGUCAAUGGGCGUAAGCCUGAACCAGCCAAGUAGCGUGCAGGAUGACGGCCCUAUGGGUUGUAAACUGCUUUUAUGCGGGGAUAAAGUGAGGGACGUGUCCUUCAUUGCAGGUACCGCAUGAAUAAGGACCGGCUAAUUCCGUG